CAGGUGCUGGCUGGGUCUUUCCUUGUAGAGAAAGGGAUUCUCUGCUGUAUGCCCUGACUGGGAGGGUAGGUCCAACAUGAGAAAUGUCCCCUGGGAGAAUCUAAAAAUCAUCACCUUAGCAGAAGAGCAUCUUGCUGCCACUCUACUCUGUGCUGGCUUGUUUCUUCGUUUUGCAGGAAGACCUCAGCACCUGAAGGUCCUGAUAGCAAUUUCAAGCCCUCAUUGA
Molecule: long non-coding RNA, 226 nt
Filed under: Phasianus colchicus (ring-necked pheasant)
Lineage: Eukaryota; Metazoa; Chordata; Aves; Galliformes; Phasianidae
Description: lncRNA (ENSPCLG00000008454.1)
Source: RNAcentral